This 70-nucleotide transfer RNA is filed under the name Anolis chrysolepis (goldenscale Anole). RNAcentral's name for it is "tRNA-Ala". The record is from RNAcentral. Lineage: Eukaryota; Metazoa; Chordata; Lepidosauria; Squamata; Anolidae.
UAAGACUUACAAGAGAUUAACCUGUAUCUUCUGAAUGCAACUCAAACACUUUUAUUAAGCUAAAGCCUAU